RNAcentral lists this transfer RNA (64 nucleotides) under Elysia viridis. RNAcentral's name for it is "tRNA-Arg". Lineage: Eukaryota; Metazoa; Mollusca; Gastropoda; Plakobranchidae. The record is from RNAcentral.
AAUCUAGAAGCGAAAAAUCGCGCUAAGUUUCGGCCUUAGAUUUGAGUAUAAAACUCCUAGGUUU